Molecule: long non-coding RNA, 682 nt
Organism: Vitis riparia (riverbank grape)
Lineage: Eukaryota; Viridiplantae; Streptophyta; Magnoliopsida; Vitales; Vitaceae
Exons: 2
Source: RefSeq, a predicted model, not a curated record
AAGCGAGAAAAACACUUGAACCCAAACAUGGGGCUUUACCUUCCAACGGUCCCCAGUCUUGGCAAAUUUGAAACUUGACUAAGAACCCGCUGCAGGGAGCAGUCUGAGCAGAUCGAGAAGCAAAAGAUAGAAAAGAUGCAAUCGUUUGAGAGAUCCCUUGGAAUCAGAAGCUUCUCGACUUCCGAUUCGGCUUCUCUUUGGAAAAAUGUCGCUUCUCUUCUCGACUCUCUCUCCAUUAAACCAGGUGCAUACCAAAACCCUAACUCUAAGGAGGAACACUGGUGCAAAAUUGUGGGGAUUGUGAAAUUGGGGAAGUUGUCUUUCAAUUGGCCUAAGAGCGUUAGCUACAGACAAUAAGCAUGCUCGAGGACAAACCUGGAAAUCCUGAUGCACACCAUUGAAGUGCCUUAGGCCCUUGGCGGUGACUUAGUUGUGCUAGAGAGCCAUACAAAGACAUGGUGCAACAUCCAUUCCCUUUGCCUUUCUUUGGCAACCCACUUAUAUUGUCAUGAUUUUAGCAACAAUGACACAUUAUCUGGACAUUGUAUUUGGAAGUACAUUUGCAUACGGCGAUGAUUCCACUUUCUUGCAUAGCAUUGUCGUUAGCACAUUUGUUUUUCUUGACACUCCCGUGAGAAGAUACAUUGUUAGUCUUUCUAAAGAUGACCCUACUUCUUUUUCA